UGAGUUACGAACGGGUGAGUAACGCGUAGGUAACCUGCCUGGUAGCGGGGGAUAACUAUUGGAAACGAUAGCUAAUACCGCAUAAGAGUAGAUGUUGCAUGACAUUUGCUUAAAAGGUGCACUUGCAUCACUACCAGAUGGACCUGCGUUGUAUUAGCUAGUUGGUGGGGUAACGGCUCACCAAGGCGACGAUACAUAGCCGACCUGAGAGGGUGAUCGGCCACACUGGGACUGAGACACGGCCCAGACUCCUACGGGAGGCAGCAGUAGGGAAUCUUCGGCAAUGGACGGAAGUCUGACCGAGCAACGCCGCGUGAGUGAAGAAGGUUUUCGGAUCGUAAAGCUCUGUUGUAAGAGAAGAACGAGUGUGAGAGUGGAAAGUUCACACUGUGACGGUAUCUUACCAGAAAGGGACGGCUAACUACGUGCCAGCAGCCGCGGCAAUACGUAGGUCCCGAGCGUUGUCCGGAUUUAUUGGGCGUAAAGCGAGCGCAGGCGGUUAGAUAAGUCUGAAGUUAAAGGCUGUGGCUUAACCAUAGUAGGCUUUGGAAACUGUUUAACUUGAGUGCAAGAGGGGAGAGUGGAAUUCCAUGUGUAGCGGUGAAAUGCGUAGAUAUAUGGAGGAACACCGGUGGCGAAAGCGGCUCUCUGGCUUGUAACUGACGCUGAGGCUCGAAAGCGUGGGGAGCAAACAGGAUUAGAUAUCCUGGUAGUCCACGCUGUAAACGAUGAGUGCUAGGUGUUAGACCCUUUCCGGG
RNAcentral lists this ribosomal RNA (758 nucleotides) under uncultured Streptococcaceae bacterium. Its description in RNAcentral is "SSU rRNA". It matches the Rfam family "Bacterial small subunit ribosomal RNA", at positions 92 to 838 of the family's 1533-position model. Lineage: Bacteria; Bacillati; Bacillota; Bacilli; Lactobacillales; Streptococcaceae. The record is from RNAcentral.